Molecule: long non-coding RNA, 377 nt
Organism: Pseudopipra pipra
Lineage: Eukaryota; Metazoa; Chordata; Aves; Passeriformes; Pipridae
Exons: 2
Source: RefSeq, a predicted model, not a curated record
GCACUGAUCUCACAGGUGCAAAGCGGGAGCUGAGUGAUCUUCACAUGGUGUUAAAGUACAUUCUGCAACUAAAGCAGCAUUCUGGACUGGGAGCAGAGCUUUGCAUGAGUGCAUUACCAGGGGCAUUCCAGCUGAGCUCCCUCUGGGCAGGAGCAGCUCAUUAAUGGCAUGUUGGCUUCGAAGCUGCUGUGAGGAGAACCAGGAGUUGCCACUGAGCCAGGCAAGCCCCUCCAUUUCCCCACAGCUGAAUUCUUCAGAUGUCAUUUCACGUUGUGCUGCUGGUGAGGUUCUCGGAAUGUGCAUCCUCAAGGAGUCUCUGGAAUUUCCUGUCCACUUUUUGCAUCAAAGCAGCUGAGAAGAGGGUUUAUUCUAAAGUA